This 98-nucleotide microRNA precursor is filed under the name Loxodonta africana (African savanna elephant). Its description in RNAcentral is "mir-544 microRNA precursor family". It matches the Rfam family "mir-544 microRNA precursor family". The record is from Rfam by way of RNAcentral. Lineage: Eukaryota; Metazoa; Chordata; Mammalia; Proboscidea; Elephantidae.
AUCACCUGGGGAUCUUGUUAAAAUGCAAAUUCUGAUUCCGUGGAUUUGGAGUGUCACCUGAGAUUCUGCAUUUCCAACAAGCUUCCAGGGGCUGCUGG